CGCGGCCUAUCAGCUUGUUGGUGGGGUAACGGCCUACCAAGGCAACGACGGGUAGCUGGUCUGAGAGGACGAUCAGCCACACUGGGACUGAGACACGGCCCAGACUCCUACGGGAGGCAGCAGUAGGGAAUCUUGCGCAAUGGGCGAAAGCCUGACGCAGCGACGCCGCGCGCGGGAUGAAGGCCUUCGGGUCGUAAACCGCUUUCAGCAGGGCCGAAAUUGACGGUACCUGCAGAAGAAGGCCCGGCCAACUACGUGCCAGCAGCCGCGGUGAUACGUAGGGGUCUAGCGUUGUCCGGAAUCAUUGGGCGUAAAGAGCUCGUAGGCGGUUCGGCAAGUCGGAUGUGAAAUCUCCACGCUCAACGUGGAGGGGCCAUUCGAAACUGCCGUGACUCGAGUCCGGUAGGGGAGUUCGGAAUUCCCGGUGUAGCGGUGAAAUGCGCAGAUAUCGGGAGGAACACUAGUGGCGAAGGCGGAACUCUGGGCCGGAACUGACGCUGAGGAGCGAAAGCGUGGGGAGCGAACAGGAUUAGAUACCCUGGUAGUCCACGCCGUAAACGUUGGGCACUAGGUGUGGGACUCUAUCGACGGGUUCCGUGCCGUAGCUAACGCAUUAAGUGCCCCGCCUGGGGAGUAC
This 637-nucleotide ribosomal RNA is filed under the name uncultured bacterium. Its description in RNAcentral is "bacterial SSU rRNA". It matches the Rfam family "Bacterial small subunit ribosomal RNA", at positions 232 to 883 of the family's 1533-position model. The record is from RNAcentral.